GUUGGGACCUUCGGGGAGGUCUUGAAGUAGAAUGACCAAAAGAUGAAAGCCAGGAGACAACCUAGGUGGAGUGGCCUUACUGCCACGCAGGUGUACAUCAAGGACAACUCCCUGAGGGUGAUGGUACAGUUACUCUCUGUUCGACCAUUGAUAGUAUGUGCCAUCAUAUAGUUGAGGAAGCGAUUGAGUUUAUCCUGGUACUCAGCAGCCUUGGUCACCCAUACGAGCAAAUGAAAUCAAAAGUUAGUGCAAUAAAUUGCUAAAGAUAAGGAAAUCAAGUUUAGGUCAAGUGACUUACCGGCAACAAAAAGGAUGUUCCUCCUCAUCAGCCGGAGCUAGGAGUGAGCAGAGUCGAUGACACAAGGGGCCUUAUCUUCCUCAGCGUAGAAGCCGAAGACGAUAGCCAGCUCGUCAAGAGAGAGGUGGCACACCUACCCGGCUAUCAAGAAGAUGAGUGAUGGUCGGAUACGCCCGAUGUUGAGGUCCAUGUACAGAGUCGCAAAGAACUCAUGUGUGAGCACCUCAUAGGCGGGCUCGUCCACCUAAAAGACGCGCUCCGUACGUCCGUUGCGGAGGAGCUCAGCAGCCCACUCCUCCCAGUCAGCAAAAGGAGUCUCUCCUCAAAGUCACUCCAUGCGCUCCGGGUUGGUGAAGCUAAGAAAGUUAGCGGCAGCCCGAUCAAUGUCCCUAGCCAGACUCGCCUCAUAGGAGGCAAGAUAAGCCACAACCUCAGGAUCCUCUCCUGCAAGACGUCGGG
This 757-nucleotide long non-coding RNA is filed under the name Linum usitatissimum (flax). RNAcentral describes it as "long non-coding RNA (LUSI_LNC003821)". The record is from RNAcentral. Lineage: Eukaryota; Viridiplantae; Streptophyta; Magnoliopsida; Malpighiales; Linaceae.